CCGCGGAAGGCUGUGCGAUAGGAGCCGAGUACACUUAAGUUUAUCCGCUCCUACGCAGUAGCCUCCGCCA
Molecule: microRNA precursor, 70 nt
Filed under: Gallid alphaherpesvirus 1
Lineage: Duplodnaviria; Heunggongvirae; Peploviricota; Herviviricetes; Herpesvirales; Orthoherpesviridae
Description: microRNA iltv-mir-I2 precursor
Gene: iltv-mir-I2
Source: miRBase by way of RNAcentral